UAUAAGUCUGAUGUGAAAGCUUUCGGCUUAACCGGAGAAGUGCAUCGGAAACUGGAUAACUUGAGUGCAGAAGAGGGUAGUGGAACUCCAUGUGUAGCGGUGGAAUGCGUAGAUAUAUGGAAGAACACCAGUGGCGAAGGCGGCUACCUGGUCUGCAACUGACGCUGAGACUCGAAAGCAUGGGUAGCGAACAGGAUUAGAUACCCUGGUAGUCCAUGCUGUAAACGAUGAGUGCUAGGUGUUGGAGGGUUUCCGCCCUUCAGUGCCGGAGCUAACGCAUUAAGCACUCCGCCUGGGGAGUACGACCGCAAGGUUGAAACUCAAAGGAAUUGACGGGGGCCCGCACAAGCGGUGGAGCAUGUGGUUUAAUUCGAAGCUACGCGAAGAACCUUACCAGGUCUUGACAUCUUGCGCCAACCCUAGAGAUAGGGCGUUUCCUUCGGGAACGCAAUGACAGGUGGUGCAUGGUCGUCGUCAGCUCGUGUCGUGAGAUGUUGGGUUAAGUCCCGCAACGAGCGCAACCCUUGUUACUAGUUGCCAGCAUUAAGUUGGGCACUCUAGUGAGACUGCCGGUGACAAACCGGAGGAAGGUGGGGACGACGUCAGAUCAUCAUGCCCCUUAUGACCUGGGCUACACACGUGCUACAAUGGACGGUACAACGAGUCGCGAACUCGCGAGGGCAAGCAAAUCUCUUAAAACCGUUCUCAGUUCGGACUGCAGGCUGCAACUCGCCUGCACGAAGUCGGAAUCGCUAGUAAUCGCGGAUCAGCAUGCCGCGGUGAAUACGUUCCCGGGCCUUGUACACACCGCCCGUCACACCAUGAGAGUUUGUAACACCCAAAGUCGGUGGGGUAAC
RNAcentral lists this ribosomal RNA (857 nucleotides) under Limosilactobacillus fermentum. RNAcentral describes it as "bacterial SSU rRNA". It matches the Rfam family "Bacterial small subunit ribosomal RNA", at positions 582 to 1439 of the family's 1533-position model. Lineage: Bacteria; Bacillati; Bacillota; Bacilli; Lactobacillales; Lactobacillaceae. The record is from RNAcentral.